This 386-nucleotide ribosomal RNA is filed under the name uncultured bacterium. RNAcentral describes it as "bacterial SSU rRNA". It matches the Rfam family "Bacterial small subunit ribosomal RNA", at positions 28 to 416 of the family's 1533-position model. The record is from RNAcentral.
GACGAACGCUGGCGGCGUGCUUAACACAUGCAAGUCGAGCGGUAAGGCCCUUUCGGGGGUACACGAGCGGCGAACGGGUGAGUAACACGUGGGUGACCUGCCCUCAGCUCUGGGAUAAGCCUGGGAAACUGGGUCUAAUACCGGAUAUGACUCCAUGACGCAUGUUGUGGGGUGGAAAGCCUUGUGCGGCUGAGGAUGGGCCCGCGGCCUAUCAGCUUGUUGGGGGGUGAUGGCCUACCAAGGCGACGACGGGUAGCCGGCCUGAGAGGGCGACCGGCCACACUGGGACUGAGACACGGCCCAGACUCCUACGGGAGGCAGCAGUGGGGAAUCUUGCGCAAUGGGCGAAAGCCUGACGCAGCGACGCCGCGUGAGGGAUGACGGCC